Alligator sinensis (Chinese alligator) is the source of this 1327-nucleotide long non-coding RNA. RefSeq lists it as uncharacterized. The transcript is spliced from 2 exons. The record is from RefSeq and is a predicted model, not a curated record. NCBI's taxonomy places the organism in Eukaryota, Metazoa, Chordata, Crocodylia, Alligatoridae.
AACAGACAGACACACAAGCAAAAGCCUCUUCCCUGAUUUAAGGGCGUUUAGGUCCAGUAUCUACUUGGGACUUGGUGGGAAAGGAUAGUGACGCAGACCCAAGCAGCAGUGAUGAAAGAACUUCAUGACGACAAAGGCCACUUCUCUAGAAGACUUUGUAGAGCUCACCCCAGAGCUACAUUGGGAAGCACAUCAGCAAAAGCUCAUCCCUCAGGCUGGAGAAAUGGUUCCCAUCACGAUCUGGAAGCUUUCACCCCAACUGUUACAAGAUGGUCACCGAUCAACUGCUGGGACUGUUGUCAGGGAGGUUUGCAGUGCUAUGCGGAGACUGCUGCUGUGCUGUUUCAUAAAGCCUGGCAAUACCCAGAGGUGAUGGAUGACUUUUUAUAAAAAAUGGUUUUCAAACUGUCUGGUGACUAUUAAUGGAACAAAGGCACUUGCUUAUCCCUUGCCCCUCCCUACUCCCAACCCCCCAUACAAAGCCAAAAACUUCAUCAACCAGGAGAGAGAUUUGCCCAUGGUGCAAGAAGGCCUGAUUGAUGAUCACCCUGGAAGAGUCGUCAAUAAUAACGUAGGGUGGUCUGGAAAGCCCUGUAAUGCUGGUGUAUGCUGGUUUCCUGGAACAAGCAAGGGGAUGUUUGCUUUCCAGAGCUCUAUGGAGUUUGGAUUUCUGCUGUCAUCCUCUGUGGCUCAGCUUAUCCUCUGCUUCCUUGGCUUUUGAACUGUUUCACUGUAUGCCUGGGCAAGAGAGGAGUGUUUUAACAUUACCCUGAGUAGCUGCAGAAUGUCCUUGGAAUGCACUUUUGGGAGAUUAAAGGGUAGGUGGCAAUGUGUCAUAGCACAGCUGGGUGCUUCUCAUCAUUAAACGGUUUGCAUAUUAAGUUCCUGCUAUAUUUUACACAUCUGUGAGAGCCAGGACAAGAUCAUGGAGGAUGACUAGGAGCUGGAGGCCGAGACUUUUGGAAUGGCAUAGCUAGCCAGAGAUGGUGCCUCUGCAAAAUGCCUGUGAGAUCAAGAAAAUAAGGUCACUAAUACAUUCUGCUCCUUCUUGGAGUCGAGGGGGUAGUUGUGGGUAAUUCCACAAGUAAAUUGGAUGUAUUUGAUUUCAUUAGGAAUAACAUAGCAUAGCAUAAUGUUGUGUCACUUAUGGGGUGAGCUGUACUUCAGUGAAAUUUUUCAGCUGACUUGUACCAAAAGGAAUGUAUUGAUAAAAAGAAAAGGAGUAUUGCUUAUUGAACCUACACAGAACAAUUAGAGAAAAACACAGUACAAACUUAAUACCAAUGUAACUGAAGGAUGGCCAAUAAAAAGUGCUCAUAUGACCACC